AUUGAACGCUGGCGGCAUGCCUUACACAUGCAAGUCGAACGGUAACGGGCCUUCGGGUGCCGACGAGUGGCGAACGGGGGAGUAAUACAUCGGAACGUGCCCGAUCGUGGGGGAUAACGAGGCGAAAGCUUUGCUAAUACCGCAUACGAUCUACGGAUGAAAGCAGGGGACCGCAAGGCCUUGCGCGGGCGGAGCGGCCGAUGGCAGAUUAGGUAGUUGGUGGGAUAAAAGCUUACCAAGCCGACGAUCUGUAGCUGGUCGGAGAGGAUGAUCAGCCACACUGGGACUGAGACACGGCCCAGACUCCUACGGGAGGCAGCAGUGGGGAAUUUUGGACAAUGGGCGCAAGCCUGAUCCAGCCAUGCCGCGUGCAGGAUGAAGGCCUUCGGGUUGUAAACUGCUUUUGUACGGAACGAAAAGCCUUCUUUUAAUACAGGAGGGUCAUGACGGUACCGUAAGAAUAAGCACCGGCUAACUACGUG
This 482-nucleotide ribosomal RNA is filed under the name uncultured bacterium. RNAcentral describes it as "partial 16S ribosomal RNA". It matches the Rfam family "Bacterial small subunit ribosomal RNA", at positions 30 to 507 of the family's 1533-position model. The record is from RNAcentral.